Lagopus muta (rock ptarmigan) is the source of this 896-nucleotide long non-coding RNA. RefSeq lists it as uncharacterized. NCBI's taxonomy places the organism in Eukaryota, Metazoa, Chordata, Aves, Galliformes, Phasianidae. The transcript has 2 exons. The record is from RefSeq and is a predicted model, not a curated record.
AUUGAUCACCUGAGGGGAGCCAUGAGUCAGCCAGAGGAGCACAGCUGAAGGCAAUUCACCUGUGCUGCCAGAAGGGGUGGAGCCUGGCUGCACCUCUCCUAGACCUAUUUAAGAGCUGGCUGCCAGAGUGGAAGGAUCUCUUCUGGAGAUCACCUCUCUUGGUGUUUUAUGGUGAGCUCAGCUGAAGGAAUAAGGAGCCAGCUAAGAAGCUAAAUCUGCUUGCAAGCCUCAACACUUGAAUAAUCAUGUGGCAAUCAUUAUCGUAUGAAGAUGAACAAUUAUUAGCCAUAAUUGUCUAAUGAGAAGAGAUACUCUACGUGUGAUGGAUGCCCACAGAAGAUGUGUGGGCACACUGCAUACAGCAAUUUGCCCUUCAGUGUCCAGUGCAUCAGGAGAGAUCACCAGUCCUCACUUCUUAUCUGGUGUUUCAUAGCAUUCUUCUACAAGCAAAAAGCAAAUAAUCUCUGCUUUCCUUAAGGUACAAAUGGCUGUGUAAAGGAAACUGGUAAUAAAACUCCACCUUACAGUGAAAGCCUAUUGAUGCUUCCCCUAACUGUCCUUUGCCAAGACCUAAAAUAACAACGUAUUGAAAGUUAAAUUAUGGGUAUAUAUAUUUUUUUUUUCCACAAAGAAUUUGUCCAGUAUUAACUCUGCUCAUGUGUGGCUUCUGAGUAUCCUGGAUGUUAUUCUGGGUGCCACUGCAGCUGGGGAUUUAGUAACAGACAGAUGUAUCUCCAUGGCUGUAGAUGUGCCUGUGUUUCCCCACUCAGCAGCAUGGUGCCUCUAUUGGUCAGUUACAUCAGCACUGCUCCUUUGUUCAGGAUGCCAUCUGGAAAAGUCUUCUCACAAUGCCCACUUUCCUGGUUGAACCAAUUGUCAGUGAUUUCAGAGUAGCC